AAUAUCAAAGCAGCACUCUCUUUGGCAAAAGUUGUUUUGUUCUUCAAUGAAAGCAAAACUUCAACAACUUAGAAACCCUCUGCUAAUAGUGAAAUAUGUUUUUGUUUCUAGGUUGAACAGGUCUUUGUUUUAGCUCUUACAACUGUAAACUCACAUCUCGAUUAGAGAUUCUUGUGGGUAUUUUUCUCUUUAUUUUAUGUUGAACUGUGGUGUUUAGUUAGAGUUAGCUAAUGGAGUCUUUCAAGUAGAUUUACAUGGAAAAAGGUGUAGCAAUAGAGUUAUUGCUAGUAAGGAUUAAGAGGUUAAUUCCUAGGAAGCAUAGAGGUGUAAUCUGAAUCUUGUUUGGUGAUAGCGAAGAGGUUGAGAAAUCCUAAUGGAGUAGGUCGUGAUUUUACUCCCUUGAGCAAGGAGAUUUCCACGUAAACAUCUUGCAUCUUUACUUUACUGCUAUAUAUUUAUGUUCUGGUCUGCUUAGAGACCUGAUAAUGUAUCAGAUCCCUAACUCUGUGGUGGACUCGUACAAAUCAUUAACUACAACUUGAUAUAUACCAUACUCUGUGGUACACUUAUUUAUGGACCGCGACUGUCACAUAUAUUGGUUCUCUUUAGAUUACCUAAUAUCGUAGUAGAUAAUAUAAUUAACAUUUACGCUGUCAAUAUAUAUAAGUUAAAUUAUUACCUGCAUGCCUCAGGCAAUUCCUCAGGCUUAGCAGGACUAGGAGCCAUGACAGAAUAAAGUGAAUCCCUCCAAUUUGCCGCAAGAGCUUUAUCACUAAACAAAUCAAAAUUGGAGUUAUACAUAACAUUCCUUGCAACAUCUCUACUAUAGUAUGGCUUUUUUAUGUCUACAUCUUGCUCAUGAAAACGUCGCGUCCCUCGCAACAUUUCAUCUAGGAUUGACACUGGAAUACCAUGAUUGAUCACUUGGAAAAAACCCCAUGUCUCUGAUGCUUCUUGAAUUUGUUUAACUAUUUCUUUCUUGUUGUUGUUGAUGUUCUGGAGGUCUAUUAAAGGGAAUAUGAAAUGUGUAGUUUUAGGAUUUGAGGGGUUAUGUUGUAAAGCCUCCGGAUGAUUGAAUAUUUUAGGUACUUCAGUAAUUCCAGCAUCAAUAAGACCUUUAACACCUGCUUUUGUGUCAUCAAAGGCUUUUUGUUCACUAUACUUGUCAUAGUUUUGUUGUGUGUUAAAGGCUGCCAUGAGGUUUAUUGGAGCAAGUACCAAACUAGUAAUGAAAAGCUGUGAAACACAAAAUUUGAUGAUAUGGAUUUAAGUUCAGACUUCAGUAUGGCAUAUUUAUAGUGACAAUUUUUCUUGGUAAGCACAAUAGUACCCAACUUGAAGGCAAGAUUGUUGCACUUUCCUUGGCCAAAACCAUGCCAUGCACAAGUGAUGUAUCAUUUUUAGUCAGCUUCAAAUUUUGCUAUAAAUAAAAUGAGUUGACUUUUCAAAUAGCCACUCAAACAAUAUUUAUUAUCUCAUAUAGUAAUAUUUUGCUUGAACUUGUUCGAAUCGAGAUAUUAGGGUAACUAAUCUAUUCAGCGGUGUAGUCAGAAUUUUUAUUAAGGGUGUCAGACUAUAAAGAAGUAAGAGCACACAAAAAAGAAUUUACUAAUGAGAAGAAUAUAAUUACAUCACCACAACUGCACUUGACGAGGUUUCAUCUCUUGAAAUAUUUAUAUAAUAGCAUCAUUAGAAAUAUUAAUAAAAAUACAUUUUUUUUCCUACAUAAGAAACCAAGUAACUGCUCAAAAGUUCAUCAUUCAUUUGAUUCCGCAAGUCAUUUUUAAUAAAUUUCAUUGACGAAAAAGCUCUUUCAAUGAAUGCAGUGGCAAUUGGUAGAAAC
RNAcentral lists this long non-coding RNA (1843 nucleotides) under Capsicum annuum. Its description in RNAcentral is "long non-coding RNA (CANN_LNC013561)". The record is from RNAcentral. Lineage: Eukaryota; Viridiplantae; Streptophyta; Magnoliopsida; Solanales; Solanaceae.